RNAcentral lists this ribosomal RNA (404 nucleotides) under uncultured bacterium. RNAcentral describes it as "bacterial SSU rRNA". It matches the Rfam family "Bacterial small subunit ribosomal RNA", at positions 355 to 776 of the family's 1533-position model. The record is from RNAcentral.
UGGGGAAUAUUGGACAAUGGGCGCAAGCCUGAUCCAGCCAUGCCGCGUGAGUGAGGAAGGCCCUAGGGUUGUAAAGCUCUUUCACCGGUGAAGAUAAUGACGGUAACCGGAGAAGAAGCCCCGGCCAACUUCGUGCCAGCAGCCGCGGUAAUACGAAGGGGGCUAGCGUUGUUCGGAUUUACUGGGCGUAAAGCGCACGUAGGCGGACUUUUAAGUCAGGGGUGAAAUCCCGGGGCUCAACCCCGGAACUGCCUUUGAUACUGGAAGUCUUGAGUAUGGUAGAGGUGAGUGGAAUUCCGAGUGUAGAGGUGAAAUUCGUAGAUAUUCGGAGGAACACCAGUGGCGAAGGCGGCUCACUGGACCAUUACUGACGCUGAGGUGCGAAAGCGUGGGGAGCAAACAGG